UGGGGAAUAUUGCACAAUGGGCGCAAGCCUGAUGCAGCCAUGCCGCGUGUAUGAAGAAGGCCUUCGGGUUGUAAAGUACUUUCAGCGGGGAGGAAGGGAGUAAAGUUAAUACCUUUGCUCAUUGACGUUACCAGCAGAAGAAGCACCGGCUAACUCCGUGCCAGCAGCCGCGGUAAUACGGAGGGUGCAAGCGUUAAUCGGAAUUACUGGGCGUAAAGCGCACGCAGGCGGUUUGUUAAGUCAGAUGUGAAAUCCCCGGGCUCAACCUGGGAACUGCAUCUGAAACUGGCAAGCUUGAGUCUCGUAGAGGGGGGUAGAAUUCCAGGUGUAGCGGUGAAAUGCGUAGAGAUCUGGAGGAAUACCGGUGGCGAAGGCGGCCCCCUGGACGAAGACUGACGCUGAGGUGCGAAAGCGUGGGGAGCAAACAGG
Molecule: ribosomal RNA, 429 nt
Filed under: Chloroflexota bacterium
Lineage: Bacteria; Bacillati; Chloroflexota
Description: Chloroflexi bacterium partial 16S ribosomal RNA
Rfam family: Bacterial small subunit ribosomal RNA
Source: RNAcentral